AUUGAACGCUGGCGGAAUGCUUUACACAUGCAAGUCGAACGGCAGCAUAGGUGCUUGCACCUGAUGGCGAGUGGCGAACGGGUGAGUAAUACAUCGGAACGUGCCCAGUCGUGGGGGAUAACGUAGCGAAAGUUACGCUAAUACCGCAUACGAUCUACGGAUGAAAGCGGGGGACCGUAAGGCCUCGCGCGAUUGGAGCGGCCGAGGUCAGAUUAGGUAGUUGGUGGGGUAAAGGCCCACCAAGCCAACGAUCUGUAGCUGGUCUGAGAGGACGACCAGCCACACUGGGACUGAGACACGGCCCAGACUCCUACGGGAGGCAGCAGUGGGGAAUUUUGGACAAUGGGCGCAAGCCUGAUCCAGCCAUUCCGCGUGCAGGAUGAAGGCCUUCGGGUUGUAAACUGCUUUUGUACGGAACGAAAAGCUCUGGGUUAAUAUCCCGGGGUCAUGACGGUACCGUAAGAAUAAGCACCGGCUAACUACGUGCCAGCAGCAGCCGCAG
This 502-nucleotide ribosomal RNA is filed under the name uncultured bacterium. Its description in RNAcentral is "partial 16S ribosomal RNA". It matches the Rfam family "Bacterial small subunit ribosomal RNA", at positions 30 to 523 of the family's 1533-position model. The record is from RNAcentral.